UAUUAGAAAUUAAUCAUUUUGUAACAAAUGGAUAUAGCAAACGUAGGUGACCACCCAAUAAAGAUUCACCCUAAUGUUGUACAGCUCCAUACAAAUCAUAUUUUUGAGAUCCCUGAAGCAACAAAUUAUGCAUCAGCAAUAUACUUGCCUGCAUGGGGAAUUUGAUCAAAAGAGAAGAAACAAAACUCACUUUUUAUCACUCUUUAUGCUGGGGCUCAUUAAGGAAUUAAAAUCCAGCUCUAAAUGAUACUCCACGAUCUGUGAAUUCUUACAUAUAGUUGCACCAAGCAAUGCUUGAAACCACUUGAGCUGGGUUAUAAGAACUUCUGGAGCCUCUUUUCUCUCUCGUUUGUAUAAUCCUGUGAACCAAAGAGGACCAAAGGUUAUUGAGACAGAGACGAAGGUGAUAAUGAUGAUGAUGAUGAUGAUGAUGAUAACGAGUUUCCAAUAUUUAUUGGUAACGCUCCGCCACUGACGGUGGCGGUGGUGAUCUCUGGCGUACAAAAGCAGAAUUCCACAAUGAAAAUAGUUAUCGAUCAGCACAACAAAGUAAUUGUAAAGGUUCUGGCAGUGCCACGGGUCAAUUCCUUGCAUCGUUGAGUCCAUCCUACCCCUUAAGGCCUUGUUCGUUUAAUCCCACCCACACUGGGAUCCAACCAAAACCUGGCCGAAACCACGUGGUUUUGGCCCCAGUGAGUGUUGUACCCCGACCUACCUUAUAUGCGCCUUCGAUUGGACCCUGCCGGGUUUAUACGCCUUCCAAACCCGCCCCAACCCGUCGGGCUUCCACCCCACCAGCGCCAGGAUUUAAACCCACAUGCCCCACAUGUGGAACCAAACCCCAUGUUCGAGUCGUUACAAAAUAAAGAGAGAAGAAGGUGAGAGCGGCACCGGGCAUGGCGGCAUUGAAGGACUCGAUGACGUGGAACCAAACACCAUGUCCAAGUCGUUCAGAACAGCUGAAAUGCUAUGUUACUUUCCACUUUCCUUUUGUCAGAUAUUGAGUUCUCUAUGCAAUGUUAAGUAUUCUGCAUUUGAAAUUCUAAACUGCUGGACAUUGAAUUGUCUAUGCCAUGUUGUACUAAUCUGUAAACACUAUUAUAAAUUAGACAACUCAAACCUUGCGGAACAUCAAACAAUAGCAAUACAAACAAUACUUUUGCAUUAAACAGAGAAGGAAAGCAUUGUUUGGCAUACAAAACCCAUAAUAAUUGGUGGUCAUCCAUAGCAUGCAAAAUUAUCUAGGGCAGUGAGGAUAUUGGUUAUUCUCGUCUCCUGAUACAUACUGGCCUCCGUCUAACUAGAUCUGCAUUUCAGUGGCCUCAGAUUCGCGUCUCCAUCACCAGAUCAAUCUGUUCUUACCUUGGUGAAACUGCCCUGGUUAUCACUCAUAAGAAAUGACCAUCCAAGGACAGGGCUACUAAAAUAAGCACAUUAUCAGAACACCCACAAGUGCCUCGAUUGCUUGAGAAGUUGAGAGCAUGCUAAUAUCAGCUAUGGUCAAUCAUCAUAGCCCCGACUCAGGAUUUUGUUUCUUGAUUAUAGAUCUGAUUGCCAUGACCAGCUAUGAGCAACUCUAGCAGACUUGCCAAAAUGGAAAGCCCAUUCAGUUCAGCAACCACAAACUGAGCUCAAUCAUAAAGCCAUGCAACAUACGCAAACCAGGGUUAAUCUUUAUUGGUUGGUCACUACAUUUGCUAUAUCCGCUCGUCACAAAUUGAUUGGUUUCUCAUAAAUGAUGAUGCAGUAAUCAUUCUACAGCUACUAAUAUUUUUUACAUCUUUCACUUAAUUACAUGAUUCUAAAUUUCUACACUGCAGGUUUAGAAAAUUGGCGAAUAGCAAGCUUUGUGCCAUGAAGCAUAUCUUUUAUCCUAUGUCGAACAAGGUUUAUCCCCUUGGUUCUCUACAUUACUCAAGAAAGGAAACAGUGUUUCCAUGGCUCGGCAUCUGAUAUUUCUUCAGUUGAACCGGUGCUCAGAACCGUUGCUUCCAACUCUGACAGCAUUGCUAAGGGCAUGUGCAUUAAUAACGUGACUACUGUUCAAGAGAAAGCAAUGCCAGAUGAGCUUAAACAGCAGUCUGAAUAGAAACCAUCAUAUUUACAAAUGUUUGAACAAAAAUAUUCUUGAACGUCCAGAAAAUUCAAGUAGAGUGCAUAUUCACGCAUUUUAUCAAUAUACACUCUACUCGCAUAUACCUAACUUACCAUUCAUGCAUUUUCUCAAUAUACACCCUCCUCAAAUUUUCUAAAAGCCCACUAUAAUUUUGUUUAAACAAUUGGUUAAUAUGAUAAUCAGGUUGUGUUGCUAAAGCUCACUUGAAUAAUAGCCACAUCAAUAAUCACAUGCCCUUAGUAAUGUUGUCGGAGUUGGAAACUACUGGUCUGAGGACCAAUUCAGCUGGAGAAUUAUCCAAGUCGAAGUUAUAACUACCACUGGAAACAUUGUUUCCUUUCUUAAGGCAGAGAACCAAUGGGAUGAACCUUGAUUGACAUUGAAUAAAAUAUAUAAUUUGUGACCCAAGGCUUAAUAUUUGCCAAUUUUCUCAAACUGCAGCAUAGAAGUUUACAUUCAUGUAACUAAGCGAAAGAUGUAAGAAAUAUUAGUAUAUGUAGAUAAAUUAACACAUCAUUAAUUAUUAGAGAUCAAUCAGUUUGUAACGAAUGGAUAUAGCAAACAUAGUUGACCAGCCAAUAAAGAUUCACCUUAGUGUUGUACAGCUUCAUACAAAUAUAUUUUUCAGGUCCCUUAAGCAACAAAUUAUGCAUCAGCCAUAUACUUGGCUGCAGGUGAAUUUGAUCAAAAGAGAAGAAACAGAACUCACUCUUUAUGCGGGGGGCUCGUGAAGGAAUUUAAAUCCAGCUCUAACUGAUACCCCCACAAUCCAUGAAUUCUUCAAUGUACAUGCACCAAGCAAUGCUUGAAACCUCUUCUCUCUCGUUUAUAGAAUCCUGUGAACCAAAGAGCACGGUGAUUGAGGAUGUGGUGAAGAUGUUAAAGAUGAUGAUGCUAACGAGGUUCCAAUAUUUGUUGGUAACACUCUGCCACUGACGGUGACAGUGGUGAUCUCCACCUUACAAAAGCAAAAUUCCACAACCAAAAUAGCUAGCGAUCAUCACCACGUCACCAAAGUAUUUAUAAAGGUUUUGGCUGUGCCACCCCUUGAUUUCUCGAAUCAUUGAAUCCAUCCCUACCCUACCCCUUAAAGCCUUGUUUGUUUAAUCCCAACCCCACCUGGAUCCGACCAAAACAAGGUUGAACCACGUGGUUUUAGCCCCAGUGAGGGUUGUGUCCCGGCCUACCUUAUAUGCGCUUUCAAUUGAACCCUAACGGGUUUACACGCCUUCCAAAUCCGCCCCAACCGUUGGGCUUCCACCCCACCAGGGUUUAACCCAUGUUCCCCCACACAUGGAACCAAAUCCCACGUUCGAGUCAUUGCGAAA
Molecule: long non-coding RNA, 3444 nt
Filed under: Triticum aestivum (bread wheat)
Lineage: Eukaryota; Viridiplantae; Streptophyta; Magnoliopsida; Poales; Poaceae
Description: long non-coding RNA (TAES_LNC016941)
Source: RNAcentral